UAAGAGGUCUAGCCUGCCCAGUGACUCUGUUCAACGGCCGCGGUAUUCUAACCGUGCAAAGGUAGCGUAAUCACUUGUUCUUUAAAUAAGGACUAGUAUGAAAGGCACCACGAGGGUUACACUGUCUCCUCUUUCUAAUCAGUGAAACUAAUCUCCCCGUGAAGAAGCGGGGAUCUAUAUAUAAGACGAGAAGACCCUAUGGAGCUUUAAAUUAUGAUAACAAUUGCUACAUAUCUUUAAUUCCAGAAAAUUAACCCACUACCUUAGCACUAUGAUUAUUAAUUUUAGGUUGGGGUGACCGCGGAGCAUAAAAUAACCUCCACAUUGAAAUAGAACCUAAAUUCUAAGCAAGAAAUCACAACUUUAUGCAUCAAUAAAUUGACAUCAAUUGACCCAAUAUUUUGACCAACGAACCAAGUUACCCUAGGGAUAACAGCGCAAUCCACUUCAAGAGCUCAUAUCGACAAGUGGGUUUACGACCUCGAUGUUGGAUCAGGGUAUCCUAGUGGUGCAGCCGCUACUAAAGGUUCGUUGUUCAACGAUUAAAA
RNAcentral lists this ribosomal RNA (548 nucleotides) under Cycloramphus acangatan. RNAcentral's name for it is "partial 16S ribosomal RNA". It matches the Rfam family "Bacterial large subunit ribosomal RNA", at positions 1846 to 2593 of the family's 2925-position model. Lineage: Eukaryota; Metazoa; Chordata; Amphibia; Anura; Cycloramphidae. The record is from RNAcentral.